RNAcentral lists this ribosomal RNA (468 nucleotides) under uncultured bacterium. RNAcentral describes it as "partial 16S ribosomal RNA". It matches the Rfam family "Bacterial small subunit ribosomal RNA", at positions 28 to 507 of the family's 1533-position model. The record is from RNAcentral.
GACGAACGCUGGCGGCGUGCUUAACACAUGCAAGUCGAACGGAAAGGCCCUGCUUUUGUGGGGUGCUCGAGUGGCGAACGGGUGAGUAAAACGUGAGUAAACUGCCCUUGACUUUGGGAUAACUUCAGGAAACUGGGGCUAAUACCGGAUAGGAGCUCCUGCUGCAUGGUGGGGGUUGGAAAGUUUCGGCGGUUGGGGAUGGACUCGCGGCUUAUCAGCUUGUUGGUGGGGUAGUGGCUUACCAAGGCUUUGAAGGGUAGCCGGCCUGAGAGGGUGACCGGCCACAUUGGGACUGAGAUACGGCCCAGACUCCUACGGGAGGCAGCAGUGGGGAAUAUUGCACAAUGGGCGGAAGCCUGAUGCAGCAACGCCGCGUGCGGGAUGACGGCCUUCGGGUUGUAAACCGCUUUCGCCUGUGACGAAGCGUGAGUGACGGUAAUGGGUAAAGAAGCACCGGCUAACUACGUG